UACAGAGGGGGCAAGCGUUGUUCGGAAUUACUGGGCGUAAAGGGCGCGUAGGCGGCCUUCUAAGUCGAACGUGAAAUCCCCGGGCUCAACCCGGGAACUGCGUCCGAUACUGGAAGGCUUGAAUCCGGGAGAGGGAUGUGGAAUUCCAGGUGUAGCGGUGAAAUGCGUAGAUAUCUGGAGGAACACCGGUGGCUAAGGCGACAUCCUGGACCGGUAUUGACGCUGAGGCGCGAAAGCCAGGGGAGCAAACGGG
Molecule: ribosomal RNA, 253 nt
Filed under: uncultured bacterium
Lineage: Bacteria
Description: partial 16S ribosomal RNA
Rfam family: Bacterial small subunit ribosomal RNA
Source: RNAcentral